Molecule: ribosomal RNA, 253 nt
Filed under: uncultured bacterium
Lineage: Bacteria
Description: partial 16S ribosomal RNA
Rfam family: Bacterial small subunit ribosomal RNA
Source: RNAcentral
UACGUAGGGUGCGAGCGUUGUCCGGAAUUAUUGGGCGUAAAGAGCUCGUAGGCGGCUUGUCGCGUCGACUGUGAAAGCCCGCGGCUCAACCGCGGGUCUGCAGUCGAUACGGGCAGGCUAGAGUUCGGUAGGGGAGACUGGAAUUCCUGGUGUAGCGGUGAAAUGCGCAGAUAUCAGGAGGAACACCGAUGGCGAAGGCAGGUCUCUGGGCCGAUACUGACGCUGAGGAGCGAAAGCGUGGGGAGCGAACAGG